RNAcentral lists this ribosomal RNA (827 nucleotides) under Escherichia coli. Its description in RNAcentral is "partial 23S ribosomal RNA". It matches the Rfam family "Bacterial large subunit ribosomal RNA", at positions 427 to 1253 of the family's 2925-position model. Lineage: Bacteria; Pseudomonadati; Pseudomonadota; Gammaproteobacteria; Enterobacterales; Enterobacteriaceae. The record is from RNAcentral.
UGGUAUCCUGUCUGAAUAUGGGGGGACCAUCCUCCAAGGCUAAAUACUCCUGACUGACCGAUAGUGAACCAGUACCGUGAGGGAAAGGCGAAAAGAACCCCGGCGAGGGGAGUGAAAAAGAACCUGAAACCGUGUACGUACAAGCAGUGGGAGCACGCUUAGGCGUGUGACUGCGUACCUUUUGUAUAAUGGGUCAGCGACUUAUAUUCUGUAGCAAGGUUAACCGAAUAGGGGAGCCGAAGGGAAACCGAGUCUUAACUGGGCGUUAAGUUGCAGGGUAUAGACCCGAAACCCGGUGAUCUAGCCAUGGGCAGGUUGAAGGUUGGGUAACACUAACUGGAGGACCGAACCGACUAAUGUUGAAAAAUUAGCGGAUGACUUGUGGCUGGGGGUGAAAGGCCAAUCAAACCGGGAGAUAGCUGGUUCUCCCCGAAAGCUAUUUAGGUAGCGCCUCGUGAAUUCAUCUCCGGGGGUAGAGCACUGUUUCGGCAAGGGGGUCAUCCCGACUUACCAACCCGAUGCAAACUGCGAAUACCGGAGAAUGUUAUCACGGGAGACACACGGCGGGUGCUAACGUCCGUCGUGAAGAGGGAAACAACCCAGACCGCCAGCUAAGGUCCCAAAGUCAUGGUUAAGUGGGAAACGAUGUGGGAAGGCCCAGACAGCCAGGAUGUUGGCUUAGAAGCAGCCAUCAUUUAAAGAAAGCGUAAUAGCUCACUGGUCGAGUCGGCCUGCGCGGAAGAUGUAACGGGGCUAAACCAUGCACCGAAGCUGCGGCAGCGACGCUGAUGCGUUGUUGGGUAGGGGAGCGUUCUGUAAGCCUGUGA